This 465-nucleotide ribosomal RNA is filed under the name uncultured bacterium. RNAcentral's name for it is "partial 16S ribosomal RNA". It matches the Rfam family "Bacterial small subunit ribosomal RNA", at positions 28 to 507 of the family's 1533-position model. The record is from RNAcentral.
GACGAACGCUGGCGGCGUGCUUAACACAUGCAAGUCGUACGGUAAGGCCCUUUCGGGGGUACACGAGUGGCGAACGGGUGAGUAACACGUGAGUAACCUGCCCACAACUUUGGGAUAACGCUAGGAAACUGGUGCUAAUACUGGAUAUGUGCUCCUGCUGCAUGGUGGGGGUUGGAAAGCUCCGGCGGUUGUGGAUGGACUCGCGGCCUAUCAGCUUGUUGGUGGGGUAGUGGCCUACCAAGGCGGCGACGGGUAGCCGGCCUGAGAGGGUGACCGGCCACAUUGGGACUGAGAUACGGCCCAGACUCCUACGGGAGGCAGCAGUGGGGAAUAUUGCACAAUGGGCGCAAGCCUGAUGCAGCAACGCCGCGUGCGGGAUGACGGCCUUCGGAUUGUAAACCGCUUUCAGCAGGGACGAAGCUUUUUGUGACGGUACCUGCAGAAGAAGCACCGGCUAACUACGUG